Molecule: long non-coding RNA, 1167 nt
Organism: Chinchilla lanigera (long-tailed chinchilla)
Lineage: Eukaryota; Metazoa; Chordata; Mammalia; Rodentia; Chinchillidae
Exons: 4
Source: RefSeq, a predicted model, not a curated record
UAUUUUGUCUCAGCCACGAGAGAAAAGUAACCAAGACAGGGGAUAUGAGCCGGGGCAUGUAGGCAGGUUCUUCAAACUGGGACUCCUAGUGCUUCCAGGAAGGAGCGGAGAUUUGCAGGAACAUAGAUGCUCGCCCGUCCAGAGUCACGUCGAACUUCUAACUUCCAGAACCAUGAGAUGACAAGUGUUUGCUGUUGUGAGUCACUAAGUUUGUGGAAACCUGUGGCAGCAGCUUUAGACAUCCAAUAGAGUGGCUGAGGACAGAACUGACAGCACUCUUUCCCUGCUUUCUGUGUCCCGGAUGCCAUGAGUGGAGCAAUUGACCUUCACCACAUCUUUGCAUGGUGAAGAUUCUGCCUUGGAGCCAGCACAUCAUGGACUGAACCCUCUGAUACCACGAACAAAGAUAAACCUCUUCUCCUGCGGGUGUCAGGAAUUGAACUCAUGACCUCAGGCUUGCCAGGCGCAGUGGCCCCACAGCGGAAGCUUCACGACAGGACGCGGAGCGGCAGGUGCUCACCCCGUGGCAGUCAGCACGCGGAGAACACGGACGCCUUGAGAGAAUGAGCGGCCCCAGACAAGAGCGCACCCUUCCUGGCACAGCCCGGGCCCGCUGCCUCCAGCCGGCCCAUCUCCUAGCGGCACCUUGGCCAGGAACUCAUCAGCGUUGAUGAGGUGACUGUCCCAUGUCCCGAUCACCCUUCAAAACCUCCACUCUGAGGACACGUGACAGUGAACUCGUCUGUCAGUUUGAGUUAGAAGCGCCCGGCUACCUUGGCUCUGCACAGUUCUGGGUGUGGAAGACCCACCCCAGGGAGGACUGUUGCCAGGAUGGUAUAAAAGGGGCUGAAGAAGGAAGGCUGCUUCUUUCUUCAGAGGAGCUCCAGCCGGCACCGUCACCUGGGCCUUGGCUCCUGGCCUCCACUGCAGACCCUUCAGCCUGCUGAUGCCAGCUCACGUGGGACACCACAGCGAGCUCCAGGCCUUCGACCGCAUCCUCACAUGAGGAUAAGCGAUUUUAUCCUAUAACGAUUAUCCUCCAUUCCAUCGGUGCGCUGUGUCUAUGCUGGAGCAUUUUUGCACCCUUGAGUCUGUACCAACUUGAUCAUCAUGAGUGAUCUUUAUUUUUGUUUUUGUUGUUUUUUGGUCUUUUUGAGGCAGGGUCUC